UGAUGCCAUACAUUUAGGCAACGUCAUAAGGAAAUACUUGAAGCUGCUAACGUCAGCUAACACGUUACAGUUAUGGCGUUUACAUUAUAUUCCCUUAUUCAAGCGGUGAUUUUGUGUGUAAAUGCUGUCGCCGUAUUGCACGAAGAAAGAUUUUUAAGUAAAAUUGGCUGGGGUGUGGACCAAAGUAUUGGGGGAUUUGGUGAUGAACCGGGCAUUAAAGUGCAGCUAAUGAACCUUGUCCGCUCUGUGAGAACAGUAAUGAGAGUGCCCUUGAUUGCUGUCAAUUCGGUCUGCAUUGUGUUGUUGCUGCUGUUUGGCUGAAGCGAAGACUGAAUCUGGAUGUUGAACUAAGAGAAGACAUUUUCAGGGCUCAGGGGGAUGUCUCCAUGAUUCCUGAAGGAGAAACCCUACAUGUACAACAAAGAAGAUUACACACACACGUGUUGUUGUAUCACAAAGAAUCAGCAUUACAUUUGAUUUCCUUUUUAUUUAUUCCCACUUUACAUGGUCAGACUGAGUAACAGUUCAGAUGCAGGAACAGUCAGUGUUUACUCCUUUAUGCCAUUCAGUUUCUUUCAAAGACACUGAGUCAAUGAUGUUUACACAAAGCAGUCCAAAGCAUGUUGCUGCUGGAUGAUUUCUACAAUGUCAAAGGAUAAUUUACUUUGAGCAUGCGAUUAAUUUAACUUUCUUUCUCCUAAUAUGAAACUGUGAUUGUGUCACAGUGCUGAUUAUGGCAUGCAUGUUGCUGUUAACAUAUUGUAAUCUUAUGUUGCAAAAAGUGUAUUUUUCUUCACACCUUCCUGGACAAAAUGUUAAAUGUACGUAAUUUGAACAGACAUAAACGCCAUAAAUCGGGAUAUAUAUUUGGUGUCUCAUGUAGACAACUUAAUUAUGUAUGACUUUUUUUCUCAGUAACUUUCAAUCAAUUACUUGAAAAAAAUAAAGAUGUUUUAAAUAUCAACACAUUUUGAGUUUGUUCAUAUCAAUAACUGAUAUUACCCAACGACAUUACAUGUUGACGUUGUAAUGUUUUGUCCCAUAACGCACUCCGUACUUCAACACAACUUUCGUUUUGAUCAUGGUUGAAAGUGUCAAAAGUGCAGUAAGGAGACCGAAGUGACUUGAUUAGGAAUAUAUUAGUUAAAUACAAAAUUGUGUGCAUGUUGGCGAUGUUUUUUAAUUGACGUGUAUGAAUGGCAUGGCAGUGUACUCUCGGACUAGCUGCAAACUUCAGCACAAGGGCAACUAGCACUCGUUCUCCCGAGGAGGCCUUCCUAUAACCGUAUAGUACAUAUUAGUGAUCAAGUACAAUAGAGUCGGUGGAUGCUUCUCAUGUAAUACUUGAAAAUGGAAAAUAUUAUGACCAAUGUUUUCAUUGCUGGGCUCCCAGCGUGUGCCAUAUAUUUUCUUUACGCCAACAUUUAUUGCUCUUAUAAACGACUGAAAGCUAAUGUGGUGUUUGACAGUCGUCAGAGCAUUCCAAGUUUUGCCUACCUUUUUCUCAGAUAUGUAUUCAGAGCUCUUAUCAAAAGACAGGGGCAUUUGUACUUUUGCGAUAGAGAUGUCGAAGGUGAAGUUGCCUUCACCAUCUUUAACUGCAGGUAAACUGAUUGCGCUUGACAAUGUAGCAGUCCAAUUUGUUUUAGUGCUAUGGUUUGAUUUUAUUAUAAUAAUUUCAAACAACACUGCCUUACAAAGAUGGUUGUUUAUUUGUUCACAUUUGGACCAAUUAUCUCCUAUGUGCUGUACUUUUUUCUCUCUAAGGUUCAACAAGGAUCUACUGAGGAGGUUCUGUAGUGCAGCUGGAUAUGGCUGGGACUACCCAGACAUUGAGUUCAGGGAUAUCCCUCUGUGUUACCCAGACACCCUCUGUCUGCGGAUGCUUGACAUAUUAAUAUCUGCUGAGAAGUUCAGAUUGAGCCCUCUGGGUAAGUAACACCUCUUCUGCUGGCUGGGUAUUGCAUGUCUUUGAAGGCCAUCCAAAUGUCAACACUCAAGGUACUCCAUUUUCUUCCUACAUUUCUGUAGAAUAUAUUAAUUCAAUUCAGCCAGAUGUGUAGUUCAUAUAAAAUCCCCCCACUUCAAUACAUUGUUUCCUUAGGUCUAGUCCGGCUACGUCAGAGUUUGAGAACAUGGCAGCCAAUAGAUGAGCUGAAGAAGGGACCCUUCAAGUUGCAGGCUCGUGUGUUAGAGUACAGGGUUGUUGAAGAUGGGGUGGAGGUUGACAUUUCUUUAACUGCCAUUUCACACACUGACCAGCCAGUAUGGGAGAGUGUUUUGACAAUGCUCUCCCAGGACAGAGGCCGAACACCAAACACACAACCUAAACCUGAGUGGUAUGAUGGUCACAUGGACACAUCAGAGCCAGAUGACGUGAAGGCGGUAGAUAUCAAUGUUCCCUGGACUACAGGACUGACGUUUGUGUGGGCUUUCUCUGACUACUCUCCACGUUGUCUCCUAACUCUUCCUGCUAAACUCUUGGGCUGCAGAUGUACCCCAACUCCUAGUCUAUGGAUGCUGUCUAAAUGCUUGGCUGAAAUUGAAAAGCACAAAGGAGUUGAUGCCAUUAGAGCCCCCAUCUCUGUCACCGCCCAGUUCAAGGAACCAUUGUUGGUACCAGGAAAAGUGACCAUCAAAUUUUGUGAGAGUGCGGGAGUGCAGUCCAAAUGUGUUAGCUUCCAAAUGGAGCAAUACGAGAGGAAGAUACCUCACAUCACGGGACAAAUCUGCAGGACUACUGUAGAGGAUGUGAAUUAAAGAUGAAAACGGCGCCAAUGGCCACACCAGCACCGUUAUUGUUUUUGUUGCAGAGAUGAGUAGCAUCACGUAGCAUGAUGUGUUAAAUGAUGUCAGAGUUGAAAAAACUGUUUGUUGUGUGCAGUAACUUCUUUGUUGUAAAAUCGUAAAUGGUGUGGCUGCUUCACCAAUAAGGAUUCCAGCUUUAAGAUGAUCAGUUAUGACAUGACAUUGUAUAAAUAUCAGGUAGAUGAAAUAAUAAGGGAUGAUUGUGUAAUUAUUAGUGGAAUGACAUCUCAUCUUUGCCAUUAUGUGGCAUCCUAGUCAGUGCGGCAUAGGCUUCAUGGCCCAGCAGGUGAUUUACACAAAUGUAUCUUCAAUCCAAAGUACCCCAAUACUGCUACCCUCUAGAGUAGAUAUUUACAUCAAACAAGAACUGCAGUCUUAAGGCAUUUUCUGUGUCCUCUACAACUCUAAUGUUACUAUGUCCACAGAAGCACCAUAAGCUACAGUACCAGGCGUAUGCUGAUGCAGACAAGGUCACUACAGGGAAUGGAGACUUGAAUAUUUGAUCUGUUUGAUAUUCUUGUUCCCUGCCUUCAUGUAUAUGAAGGUCUUUUCUCUUGUAUUACUCAUUGUAAAAUGGAGGUGUAGGCAGGAAAUAUGUAGAGGAACAUAAACAGUAUUGUUCACUGAAAUGCUUUGUAGAGAUCCAUGAAUUAAACUAUACCUUAAGUUUAAUGUCAGUAUUUACAUAUUUCUGCCAAACAUCAAAGAGUGGUGAUUAGAUUCUGCCUAGGAGUAAAAUGUUAAAUAAAUAUUACUAAAAUGAA
RNA transcript from Oncorhynchus kisutch (coho salmon), 3572 nucleotides. RefSeq lists it as uncharacterized. The transcript has 5 exons. NCBI's taxonomy places the organism in Eukaryota, Metazoa, Chordata, Actinopteri, Salmoniformes, Salmonidae. The record is from RefSeq and is a predicted model, not a curated record.